This is a long non-coding RNA of Passer domesticus (house sparrow), 12030 nucleotides long. RefSeq lists it as uncharacterized. The record is from RefSeq and is a predicted model, not a curated record. Lineage: Eukaryota; Metazoa; Chordata; Aves; Passeriformes; Passeridae. The transcript is spliced from 4 exons.
GCGGCCGGGGAAGAGGACGAGCAGGAAGAAGCUGCGCGCGGAGCGGCGGUGCCAGCGGCGCCUUCCCGGGGGGCGGCGGGGACGGAGCCCGCGGGUGUCCGGCCGCGGUGUCCCCCGUGUCCCCACGUGCAGGCUCCUCUGUGUUGCUCUCUGAAAGCAUUUCAAGCUCGACACACAGAAGCUGUUUCUCAGUGAGCAGCUGUGGGGCAUUUGGCUGAUGGUUUUGACAGCAGAGAUGAAUUGAGGACGUGGCAUCUGCAGUCCUGACCUGGAAUUUGAACCCUUCAGUGCCUCUCCCUCCUCCCAGAUGGAGAGGAGGCGGAAGAUCUCGGAAUCUUCUGAUUGCCAUCGAUCUGAUUUUGCUGAGCACUGGCCUCGUAUCACGUCUGUGUGUUCCUUGAGAGAUGAUUUCAAUCUGAAAAAAAACCCUGUAAGUAUCUUGAGAGCUGGAAAUCAGAUGCUCUGAUCUAACAUUUCUCCAGCAUUUAGCCAUUACCUCUACCACGAGCACCUCAUUUAAAAAAAAAACAAACCAAACAUGAAGCAUAAGGAAAACUGUGAGAUAACAUUGCUGAUUUUGAGCCCUGACUUACAUGAUUUCCUUUCUGAUAUUUUUGGAGGGAAGAGGGAAUUGGAUCAUAUUUUUGUCUUUCCCCCCCCCCCCCCACAUCUGUAAGGACUAGACAUUUUUUUAACAGAGGGGAAAAUAAAAUAAAUUGAGAUCUCCAGGUGGUAACAUGGCUGAAAGAAAACAUGAAUACUUGGAAAUUCAUGCUCAUUAGUACUGGCACAGAUGUGACUCUGUAGAGCUGAAGCUAACCCGAACCAGGAUAUAGAGAUAAGAACUGCACAUAAUUGAAGCCCUGAUUAAUUAAAAGCAGUUUCUUGGCACAGACAAUGAUGGAGCACCCUUGAGUGGAUCUGCACAUGUCCCUGUGGACGUGUGCCCCAGGCCCUGCUGCCUGUGCUGGGGUGAGGCUUUGUGGGGGUGGGCAAGGGGUAGAAAAGUGGCUUUGUCAAGGAAGCCAAGCCAAGAGGAGCAGUGAGCCCCCUCUCCACUGCAGCCUCAGGUGCUUCUCCAGGGGCCCCACGCUUGGAGCAGCUGCUGGAGGAAGUGUGGCAUCAGGAUGGGAAUCCUGUGCACACAGGGGAAUGUCCUUUUCAUGCAGAGUCAUAAACAAACCCCUGAAAGAGUAGGGGAUGGAUCCAGCAGCCCUGGGGAGGCCCCACACUGCUGGAACCAACAGCUUCAUGGAACAUUUUCCUGGAGUCCAAUAGUGGUUUUCUAGACUUAAAAACUGAUCACAUUUCCUUUCCUCCCUCCCUCCCAAAGGCUUUUUUGUCAUCUGUGUCCAAAACCUCCAGCAGAAACUCCAUGAUUGGAGCAAUUUGGUCCAAUGCCAUGAGAAGGGACUGCUCCGCACACUUUAGGAAGAGCAAAAAGGAGAAAGAAAAGAAGGUAGAGCCCUCUGUGCUGUGCCUGAUCACUGAUCAAAGCCAGCUGCCUCCUGUGCUGGCUUGAGGACGUGACAGAUGUCUGUAGCCUUUACAGGUGCAGGGCCUGCAUUUCAUCAGUCUUUUUUCCACGGAUGACCUGGGGUGUGGAUUAUUAGCAGCUCAGAUUUCUUUGGCCAAGGUGCUUUGUUGUGUACACAUCCGGGUUAAAUCUAAGCAAUAUUUCUGAUCCAUGUAGGCUUCUGACUCAGUCCUGCAUCUUUGGUGUUUACAAAAUGAUCAGAGUUUGAACUCUCCCUGUUGUUUCUUAAAUGUCAGCAGAAUUUUUUUUUUUUUUAAUAAAACAAUGCAGCCUUCCCCUGCAGUGUUUGUGACCAAGAAACUGUGGCAUCACAAGAGCAUGAGGAAAUACUGGCUGAUUAAAACCAGGGUAAGAAAUGACAGCGAAAGUGUUUGUCUUCUUUCUUUUUUUUUUCCCCUCAUUUCAGAAUUCACAAUGAAGUGGCUGGUAAAAUGGGACCAGCUGGUUCAGCCCCACUUGGGCUGAAUACGAUGUUUAAUGUGCUGAAACUACUUCCACUGGCAAACUUUAGUGUGAUAAUUUAAUUUCUCAUGUAAAGCACAUCUCACAGCAUGGCUUUUUCCCUACCUCCUUCUGUUUUGACAAAGUAAAGUAAGUUUGGGCUAUUGUUGGUUUUCUUUGCCUUGUUUUUUGUCUUUUUCCUGCCUCUCAUUAAUAUACAAGUGGUAUUAAAUAGUAAUGAUGCCAGUAUUGACCUCUGCUGUGCCUUGCUGUUGGCUCAUUUUUGCUUCAAGGAGCAGAUGUUCUCUGUCUUUGUUUUCUGUUGCCAAAUGGGGACUUUGCCCCUUUAACCUUUGAUAAGGUGCUUUAAUAAUCUCUGAUGUGAGAUUUUAUCAAAAGCCAAGUAAAUCAUACCUGCCUGGCAGCUUCUUUUAAACAUUCCCAUCGUGGUUUACAGCAGCUCAAGAAAGUGCAGUUUCCUCUGUGUUUUUGCAGGCUGUAUUUAUCCCCUGCACCCAGCUGAGCAUCCUCCAUGGAGGGAGCACCCACGGCAGGGAUCCUGGGGUUCUGCUCCUGGAUGAUGCUCCAGCACCAGACCCUUGCCAGCCUCCAGCAGUCAAACAGGGUGAUGUUGUCUGUCAGGGAUCUGUGGGUCUGACUAGACUCGCCUGGACCCCCUUUUCCAUCAGUUGCUGAGGUGGAAUGGGGAGGUGGUGUCUACACAGCUGCUGCUGGGGUCUUGGUGCUUGUUCCCUUGCUGUGUGCCCAGAGAGGAGCUCCUGGCUGCUUUGGCACCAGCAUUUAAACACCACUGUGCUAUAAAGCUGCUCCAACCCUUCCUAUGAAGAGGCACCCUCACAACAUCUGUCUCUUCCUCAUCCCUUUUGCAGCAUUUCAUACUUUGUUCCUGCACUUGGCCACCCCAAAAGCCACAAGGGAAAGUCCACUUCCCAGUUUCUAUUUGUUUUUUUUUUUGCCCAGAACCCUACAUGACUUGUACAAGCAGCCACCAUCCCUGGGGUGGGUAGGCUGAGUUGUACCUCAGGUGGAAGCAUGCCUGGCUCUGGGAAGCCUUGUGGGCAGUUUGGGAAGGUGGCAUUUUGUGUCUGAGAAUGCCUGUGUGCUCUCCCAUGGCCUCUUGCAGCAUUCUGCUUCUGCUGAACCCCUCUUGGAUUUACACACAUCUCUGCAAAACUGCAUUGGAUUUGUUAUUCCCGCCCUGCCUUUGCUCUCUUGGCCUGUCACAUCCUCACGGUGUCACAUGAGGGGGAAACAUUUCAUCAAGCCCCUUUGUUCUGCUGGUCUGGGGCAGCAGGCACAGCACAGCUGCUCUUUGUUACUGGCCACCACACAGAAAAUAAAACAAUCACAGGGGCCUUGGUGAGGCAGCAGCCUCUGCCACCCUCUCCUCAGUGCCACUGCCCAGCCUGUGUGGGAACCACCUCCUUCCCCCUCCAGACCUGGAAGUUCACCUGUGCUGACAACACCUGCACUGGGGACAAGCCUCGUGCUUUAUGUUCCUUGUGUCCUUCUCCCUUUGCAGGGCUUCGUGUCCCUCAGCCACAUCCCACCACACUGAGCCUGGGCAUUCCCAAAUAUUUCCCACUUCCUUUGGCAGGGGUGUGCCCUGGGCAGAGCUGCUCCUGCAGUGUGGAUGGCAGGGACACAACCCCAUCCCCACCACCAUGGCCUUUGGUCCCAAGCACAGCCAGCUUUUCUGUGCUGGGGUUUUCCCAAGGCUGGAGCCUGUAAAUAAUCCAGGAGUGUCUCCUCCUGCCCAGCUCUGCACUCUGCUCCCUCUCUUUGUUUCAGAGUGAGCUGUGUGGUUCUGCCAGCCAGAGCUGCAGCCACCUGAUACAGGCUCCCUUGGGAUGAGCCUCCAACACUGACUUCCCAAAUUAGUCUGGAGCGAUGGGUGCAGCCGAGCUGAGCCAGCAAUCCUAUUCCAGCUGCUGGCACGUGCCAAAACAUCUGCCUGCCUGUGCUGUGCUUGUUGAUGGAGCUGUGAGCAGCUCCCAGCAUGUCAUUUGAGAAUAUAAAUUGAGUUCCUCUGAGCUGGAACCACCUGCUUCAGAUAAUUUCUCUGGCAAGGAGUCUUCUUUUUCAUCAUCCAGGAUUUUCCUGCUUUCCUCUGCUGCCAGCUCUGUGCAGUAGCUGCGGGGGUUGGUACUGAUGGGUGGGGAUUUAGGUGAAUCCAGAGGGGAAAUGUCCUGCUGCCAAAGCACAGCAGAGGGCAAAUGUGCUGUUUAAACCACAGAAUUUUAGAAUCCCUGACUGGUUUGAGUUGAAAGGGACCUUUAAAGUUCAUCUAGUCCAAACCCCUGCCAUGGACAGGGACAGCUUUUGGUAUAUUGAGUUUCUCAAGGCCAACCUGGCCUUGAACACUUCCAGGGAUGGGGCACCCUCAGCUUUUUGAGAUGCCAGGCACUUGAUCCCACUAAGGCUGGUGGGAUGCACAAGCAGGGAAACAAACAGCUCCCUGGGAAAACAGGUGGCUUUUGCAAGGAGCAAAAUGACCUGAGCAAACCUGGAAACCAGGGGUGUGGGAGUGAAGGAUACUGCUGCUCCCAGCUUCCCUUUUCUAUCCCUAGGGUGACAUGCAGCCAGCCCUCCAGGUCUGUCCCUGUCCCUUCUCCUGCCCCAGCAGUAUCCAUUAGCUGAGUAUGUAAUUAGGAUCCCCUAAACACAGCUAAAUUGUUGUCCAUUGAAACAAAGCUGAAUCCCACCCAGAAUUAUGCCAACCAGGCACUUAAAACUUGAGCAAAUGGGGAAAAGUGGUUUAUAUGGGAAACAGGUGUAACAUCAGCAAAGUGCUCUCAGAGCUGCAGGUGAGCUGCCCUGCAAGGGACCAGGUGUGCCCAACACCACCUCUCAUCUCCUCGGGGAUAACCGCUCUGCAAUGGUGUGUUUUCCCCGUUGGAAAAGCAAAAAUAAACCAAACCCAAGCCCCUGAGCAGGGCUGGGUGGUUUGAUCUCCUUGAGGGGUUGGAUGUGAGUGUGUUGCCAUAACAGUCUCACAGCAGAGGAGGCUCUGAAACAUCUCUCCUGCUCCCAGUCCAAGCUAGCAGGAGGAAUGAGGAUUGCUGAGCCCAGAGGCAGUGGCUCCCCCAAGAAAAAACUCCUGGAAAGCCCCUGAUUUACAUACACCAAGACAUGCAAAGGCUGUUUCAAUGGAGUAAUGGAUGCCUGGAGCUGCCAGGAGGUGAGACCCCUCUGGUGGGACUGGCUGGGAUGUGGGGGUGGAUGGAGGAGGCUGUCAGGGUUCCUCAUAUCCCUGUACCCCCAAAUGCAGCCCUGCACUCAGCAGAUGCACCUGGUAGUAGUGGGAAGUGCUGUAAUGUGGUGUUCCACAUUCUCCUAAAGGGCUUUCCCCCAGCAUUUAAAAGUAAAACCCACAAAAUCCCACAGGGAGGGAAACGAUCACACAUUAAUUCUUCCCAUUUCUCCAUUUCUUUCCCAUUCCCUGCAUCCCACUGCUCCUCCUCCCCUCCCUGCAGCCAGAUUUGAGUGUGUUUUCCCAGGAUUUGUGCCCAGCAUUGGCAUUAAGUAAACUCUCCCCAGCAGCAUCUGCCUUUGCAGGACCUCACCCUUGGACAGCGGGAUGAAGCUGUGGAAAGGGACAAAUGCUUGGAGCGACCUGGGGGUCCCUGGGGAGAGACAUCCCUCCAGGGCAUAAGCUGCUGUGAAUGUGGGAGCAUGAGGAGUGGAGGAAGGAUGGAUGGAUUGCAGCAGAGGAACAGGGAGCUGGGGCUGGUCUGCUGCUGCCACUGAAGCUGCCACCAAACAUCAGCUCCAUGUGCACCUCCUGACACUCAGCAGGCUUUUGAGCUCCAAAAGAGGUUUCUGAAAACAAAGCACCCUCUGCUCUCCUCAAAUCCCAGGACUUUGCAAGUUUGUGGGCACACAGGGAGCUGGUUCAGACCUGGCUGUGGGCACUGGCACCAACUAACUGCACUUGGAGCCUGGUCCUGCUGGCACCAAAAGAGAGACACCUCCAGACACAACGGCAGCUGACCUGGCCUUCCCUCUGGAAGCAGCUCUCUUCCCACCAAUGAUGGAGACAGUUGAGAGCAACCACACCUCUGACUGAGGUGUCCCAGAUGAAGUGUCAGCCAGAGGCUAUAAUCCAAAAUCAUACAGACUGAGACAUUUCAGCACUGACAGUCCACAUGCACCCAGAUCUCGUUCACAAUGUCAGUAGUGUCACAGGCAGGACUGACAGAGCUGCAAAGGCAGAUUCAAGGCAUCUGAGUUUUCCCUUGUUUUUUGGCACCAAUGCUUAUCACUGAUUCUAAUAAUUCUCCCUGGGUGCUUUUGCUUCACAGUUUGCUCAGUUAUGGAAGAUCAAGAGAGGAACUGUUCGUGGAUAGCUCCCAUACCCCCACAUCUUUUCUCCUCAUCCAGUCUCCUGCAAGAUCCCCUCAACCAACCCAAUUCACUCUGGUUUUAUUACACCAAAGCACCAGGUUAACCACCAAUCACAGAGUUACAGGAUCAUUUAGGCUGGAAAAGAUACUUAAGAUCCUGCACUGCUGAGUCCACCAACAACACAUAUCCUCAAGUGCCACAUCUACACAUCUUUUCAAUACCUCCCAGGACCGUGACUCUACCACUUCCUUGGACAGCCUGUUCUGGUGCUUGACAACACUUUUGGGGAAGAAAUUUUCCCAAAUACCUAAGGCCAUGAUUUAUCUGAUAUUAGCUGUCAUCUGCAGCCAAGGCCCAUCGCAUGAGGCUCUGUACAAACACAGUCAGAGAGACUUUUCCCCAAAGAUUUUUCAAGCUAAACAGAGAAGACAGCUGAAUAAAUUGCACACAGACUCUCUUUAAAGAACCUGUCAAGCACCCUUUUGUAAAACCAGCUGUACUAAAAUAGGGAAAGACCACUGUAAAAAUCAUAUUCCACCUCUUUUGCUACAUUCCUUGAUACAAAGCAGCUAUGUUUUGGCUCUGUCUCAUAAUUACUGUCAUUAUAAUGUCUGUGUAUCACUUUAAAUAAUCUGCUUCCAACAACAGUAUGAGAUUACACAGAUCUGUCCUAUAAAGAGGCACUGGCACACAUAUAAUAAUGGGUGUGAGUCAAAUUCUUGGCUCACAGCCUAUGAGCAUCACCUCCCCCCCAGUGCAAACUGCAGCAUGGUUUAUUUAGGCAUCCUUCCACAGGUAGUGUGGAGCAGUACACACCACACACAACCAUUUCAGCUCCAAAGCUGCAUGCAUGGAUGCUCAAAGGUGUACAGGCAAGCAGACCACAAGGGUGAUCUGCAGUGGAGUGGAAAGGGAGUCGCCUCCUCUACCACAACCAUCUCACCGUGUUCAUCUCCAUCCCUGAUGUACAACCCAAGCAGUGACUACAGAAACUGCUCCAAGAAACGUACAGCAAGCUGUUAAUUCUGCUCCUUGAUGUGAUUACCGGAGCAAUGAAGAGAUAACACCACAUCGCAUUAACAACCUUUAUUAGGGUCUUCUCACAGCGGAAUUGCUUCCCUCCCUGAUAAAAGAAACCAACAGGAUGUUGCUUGGAAGGGACCUUUCAAUGCAGAGCUUCCUGCAUCUUUCAUCACAGCCGUCCCCUGACACGUUAUUCAGCGGCUGGCCAGGAAAGCAGGACGGCGGCUCGUGCUCCCAGCCCCCCCUGGGUCCAUGCCAGAACCAGACUAUAGCUGCUUGUGCUCCCAACUGGAGGCUGCUCCUAUUCCUUAGUAACUGCACGUGCUCUGCCAGCGCUCCACGGCUGGCAGCUGCUGCUCCAGCACACAGCAGCGGGGUGUGAAAGCUCCUUCUCCAGCCCUUAUGCAAGAGAGAUUAGGGAGUCCUGGCAUAGGACACAGAUGCUGUGAUGGUCACCAGUAGUCUCCCGUCCUCCCCACAGCUGUCAGGUAACGUGUGGUGUGCUCAGAAACCCAGUAGCAGCCCUGUCCUGCUCUUCCAGCAAUGGCAUUGCUGAAUCCCAACCACCCUUUGUUAAAUGAAGUAACACAAAACCGCACUAUAAUCAAUGAUGUUAUUCAUCUGCCCAAGAUCCUCUCUCCUUUGGGGACAAGAAGCAGCAUCUCAGUGACAGUACAGACUCUGAAAUGCAGGGAAAUGACCAUCUCCCCAGACUCUGGCCCCACUGGAUUUUCAGAGGAUGGCAGCUCAGCUCCUAUCAUCAUGGCACCUACUGGUGGACCAACUCUUAAGGUGAGGGUGCUUCAAAUUUCAGUCUUAGUCUGGUGAGACUGGUGAUUUCAGCACCAAAUUCAACAGUGUGGAAAAAUGUUAUUUCCCAGUCUACACAGCUGCACGGCCAAGCUGCUGCAUAGCAAUUGUCAGGCUUUUAAGGCAGGGUGGCUGCACUUCAAGAAUAAGUAAACUAACACUUAACUAGUAUGUAAAUAUGUCUGCAACCCUUCUGUGAGUCCAAGAUAUUAAGGCUAAUACCUCCAACAACUCAACAGAUGUGACACUACAAGUGAUUGUGUCUGUCCCUACCAAUAACUCUGUAAAGAGAUAAAAAAUACUCCCAGAAAUAUCAGGGAUGAGCACGAGUCCAUAUCUGGCAUAAGAAGUGUAACUUACAGGCCUUAUUAGCUUAGCUGCUCCCAUGGACCUUGAGGUUUUAUGAAUAUGAAAUUGAGGGGAAAACUGUAAGAUUCUGAUGCAUUUGUUUUUUAACACAGACCAUUCAAAACUUUAGAUAGCACAGUCCUGUGUGCAAUUACCCAGAUGUACAUGGCAAGUCAGGAUUAUUGAAGAAUGCUUCUGUGCCAUAAAUAAACAAAAAUACACAUGGAAGACUGAUAAAAAUUUUAAUGCAUUUUACCUGUUUGUAGUAGAGAAAUGUCCGGCUUCUCAUCACAGUCAGUUGCCUCUGCUGAUUACAAAUAUAAACAAGAAAUCUCAUUACUUUUACUGAAUAUGGGAAUGGGAUUAAAAAGCUACAGACUGUGAAGUGAUUUUGCAUUUUCUAUCCACUUUCCUCAGCUGCAAAUUCGCAAGUGCUCUGUUAAAAACUCACUGCUUGGAGGAAAAGGUCAUAUAAUAAAAAUGCAAACUUGGAAGAGGGAGUUGGGUAUUAAGAAGCAAUUGUGCCAGUAAUGGGAUGGAGUAACACUUGUUCUUUUUAAGGUUUCAGGAUGUCUGUAUGAUAACAGGAGUUGUGAUCACUUGAUAAAGUCCCAAGAAAAGUCCCCAGCGGUCCUUAGAGGAAGAGCUUUGCAGGCUGGAACUCCCCCCACCGACAGUCAUCCCAUGCCUGCAGGGAAAGGAACACUCCCAUUUCUGCACACAAACUUCCCAUGACCACAGGCAAGCUCAUUUUGCAGGGGACAGAUUUACUAGGGCAGAGUGUCUUCAAAAAUGCAGGUGGGUGCCCAGUGUAAUUAAAAAAGCACGUGACCACACUGGCAAUUAAUGUGUAUAUACACACAUGCUUUCAACCCACAGCUUAUGCAAGAGCAUUUGACUUAAUUUGGCCCACGGUGAAGGGAGGCUAAAAGCCUAAUUUGUUCAUUUUGUGUUUGCCAGAGGCCAAGGGAAUGCACAGACAUAGCUUGCCUCACUCAGCAGAUGUGCAGGGACUUGUUAGGCUGUAGUACCUGGGACAUGCAUGUGAACCCUGAGUAAAUCAAAGGUGUGUAACAGGAAAUCCGUGCCUAACCUAAACAAGCCCUAUUCAAAAUCCUAUUACCUUUGUCUUUUGGCACUGCAGCAUGAUAUUUAAGGCCUUUGAAGCACAAUGAGAUCUUUGAGGGCACUUCAGCAAAUGAGGUGUGGUCAUACAGGACAAGCCCAUUAUCACUGAAUCACAGAAUAGUUUGGGUUGGAAGGGAUCUUAAAGGUCACCCAGUCCAACCCUCCUGAAAUUAGCUGGGAGAGAGCUUCAACUAGAUCAGGCUGCUCAGAGCCCUGACCUUGAAUAAUUCCAGGGAUGGGACAUCCAGCAUCUCUCUGAGCAGCCUGUGCCAGUGUUUCAGCACCCUCAUUGUAAAAAAUUCUUCCUUACAUCUAAUCUAAAUCAACCAUGUUGUAGUUUAAAAUGUCCUAUGAACUACCUUGUACAAGGUCUGUGUGGUGGAUGUGUAUCUGCUCACAUCCAUUCACUGCACAAUAUCCACAGGGAUCAAAACCAAGGCUGCAGAUAAAUUAAGCAACUCAGCUCACCUCCCACUCGAGACUAAGCUAACUGUCCUGAUCAUCUUUAUCAUGGCUCUGCAUACGAGGAUGUUCAGUUGUUGCCUUCAUGAUGAUAAUGUCUAAUCCAGCUCCUAAACUACAUGAGUUUUCUAAUGUAAUCCAUCAACCCUUGUCUCCAUCCCUGGUCCAAGAGACUGCUGUCUCUCCCACAUGCCUGGAUGUCAGGUUGGUUUUUAGCUAUAUACUCUCAGUUCUGCAAAAUUAAUUGAACCAAAGAAAACAUAAACAAACCCUAGUAUCAGGCAGCUUUCUCCCACAAAAGGUUUAAAUGCAAAGCCCUGAUAAAUUCAUGGCACAGACCUACAAGUGAGUCGGUGCCUGGAAUUGAGACCUUUCUCUGCUUUCUGUGAGAAUGUGGCACCCUGAGCAGGAACAAAUUCAGUGCCUGGUACAGCUCACUGUGAAAACCUUGAAUUCUGGAAGGGACAGGGGGCUCACUAAGUGGGAAGGGAUCACCUAGGCUGGUUUGAAUGUGGACCAGACUAACAGUGGUGGAAGGACUGGAUGUGCAAGGGAGGAGACAGCAUGGUGCAAUGAGAAGCCAAAAGUCAGCCAAUACACGGAUUAAAAAUUCAUGUCAGUCUGAGGUCAACUUCCAGCAAUGCUGUGAAGAACUACCUGCACCAGGUGAGUCUGUGGCACAGAAACUCAGCAUACAAGGGACAAAGCUGCCCCUUGGGUAGAAGGGAGCCAAGCUAUGAAAAUGGGGGAAGCCAGAUCUGAGUGCUGGCAGUGGACUGGAGAGCCUCCCCUCUGUGAAUAUCAGGGGUGGUGCCAAUGGGCUGCCCACUGUAGUGACAGCUUUUCUAGAAAUCUCUGCAGCAAUUUGUGAAGUAGCUCCAGAGAUGUGGUCACCUUUCUGCCUAACUGCUCUUCCUACACCAGAGGAAAGCAAUAAUACAGAAAGAAACAAAUGGAAACAAGGAACUUCCAGAAGGUAAGGACUGUAGAGUCCUGUCCUGUCUCCAACUCUACAGAACCUCUACAGAAGUUACCUGGCCAUUUUAAUCUGGCCAAAGACUGAUAAAUGAGGUUCAGUUCUCCACCAAUUGUUCCAGUCUCAUUCCUCAUGCCAGCACAAAUGUUUAUACAGUCACCAAGAUCAGAUCCAGUUAAAAACUGACAACAUGGCCACAGGAAUGCCUGUGCCAGCACUAGAAAGGGAGUGGGAGCACAGCAGAUGCCCAAAGAGCUACUCACUCUUCCCAGCAGCUGCCAGGAUUUGUUUUAUGAAACUGGAUGUGUAACUGCACCUCCAGGUGAAGUACAACACAGGGGAAUGGCAAACACCUCGACCUCCUAACAUGGAUAUAAACCACCAGUCUCUUACAUGUCAUUCCAAGAAGAAAGGAAGGUUUGCCUUUGACAACCACACCCACAGGCUGCCAGCCAAACCUCACUGUCUUGGGCCAGCUUUCAAGACAAGGCAAGCAGGAAGAGAGCCUACUGUGGGAACUCAGAGCCUCUUCUCUGUCCUUUGCUUAGACAGAGUGCACAGCUCUUGCAGAAUAAUGCUGGUAGUAAUUUCCUUAGAUUCCCCCCAAAUUGUGCAGCUUCUGAGGUACAUGUCUGUCUGUUAUGUGUACACUUGCUGCUUUCCUGGAAAGAAGCACACACAUGCUCAGGGCUGGGAAGCUGAAUACAGCAGUUACUAUUUUUAUUUUAUUUUAUCUAAAAUACUGGCCACAAACACACUGUACACACGCUGGACUUCAUCCUACAUCUUUCCUGGCCCUGUGUGUAUUGCUAAGAAAAAAUCAACCCAAUCUCUUGCAGCACAUAGAUGUUGUGUCAAAAGCAGAAACCAGGGAAUCAGAAGGCUGAAGAAAAACAGAAAGAAGAAAAAAAAUUCCUGCAAAACAAUGGAAGCUACA